UAAAAAAAAAAAAAAGAAAAAGCAUCAACCUGCUUAAUUUUGAUCGUAAAAAUCAAUAAUUUUGAUUAAAAUUGACUAAACCCAUCACCAAAAUUGAAUUCCAUACACUUCUACUGCCAUUUUGAACAUAUAAAUACUUAUAUUUAUCAUCGGAAACCAUUACAAAUCAAGAGAGAAGUUUUAGAGAGAGAGAAACUUUGGCUCAAUAUUCCGGUCAAUAUGCUAAUUGUCAAUGAGAGUAACAUAAAUCAUUGUGAUGAUCACCUCAAUAGCUUUCAUAUGCACCCAACCAAAAUAAUUUUCAAAGCUGAAGAGGGAGACCAAAAACACACUACCACAACCUCUAUCCAUUAUCUAUGGCAAAAUGCUGUGAGUUAGAGGGAGUUCAAUCAGUGGUUGGAUGCCAGGGCAAGUCGAUUGAUACCAAGUUUUACGCCUAAUUUCAUAAUUGUGAGGUGCCAAUCUACAUUAAUGAGUGAAUAGUAAUCGCCAGUUGCAGCAACUAAAUGGUAAAUGUGAAUAGUAAUCACUGGAUGAAAAAAUAAAGAUGGCCUCUUUUGAGGUAAUUUGAUGUUCUGAUCGUAGUGGUAAAAGCUUUUUUUUUCUGUGAUUUGAAGUCUUUAAACCUUAUUUUUACGCGUUUGAAGAUAAUUUAUAGUGUUUAUUAGAAAAUAUUUGUGGGGCUGAAUAAAUUAAAAUUUUAGAUAUGUACAUGUAUGGUUGUGGCAUGUCCUGCUGCCACUCAUUCUAAACGAGCUUAUUAGCUAUCUAAAUGUCAUGAUCUCAGCAUAAACCUACGGUUCUGGGGCAGAGUUCUUCAUUUGCGCUGCAUUGCGCACCAACAAACAGAGACAUCCACUUAUUUUACCUAUGGAUUUCCAUUCGGCCCUAGUGCAAUCGCGGCACCUAGUUGGCCUUCAUUCGAGUAGGUGAAUACCUACAUGCAUGCAUCAUUUCGGUCAGCCAAUCACUUGACUGAUGAAGAUUCAAUCCCUUGACAAUCUAUCUUUGAUUUAAAGUCCAUAAGCUUGUCGAUCUAAUUAAAAUGCUCCGAUUCUUAUAUAGUUUUUGAUUCUUAAAAUCUUACAAAAAAUAUUUAUCUUCCUGAAGGUUAAAUGCUAUAUAAAUUGUGGGAUCAAGAAGUAUCGGAUAGAUUAUAAAAAGAGAAAUAUCUCAUUCAAAUAUAGAUUCUUUCAUUACAUUGAGUUUCACAGAAGAAUGUUCCAUUUUUACAUAUUUGCUACUUAGAGAUGAUGUUAAACUGGCUAUUAUGGGCUUUGAACUUCACUGGAUCAGCUUCAGAUACUUCACAAUCCUACUAAUCAAUUAAACCAGAAAACAACAAUUUAAUUAGCCCAGUAGCAUGCAUUAGACCUAGUGUAAUACAAAAUCUCAUCCUAUAAAAUGAUUUGAUAAUUUUACAAUCAAUUUAUCUGUGAAUUAUUUUAAAUUGGGAUCUUAUCUAGAUUCUGUCUACUAUAUAAACAUGUAGGAUCUAUUCCUACUAUAUAUCUUAUGCCUUGAAUUCAUAAUAAAUCGGGUUUAAGUAAAAAAAAAUCGAUAAUUAAAUCAAAAUAUAAAAGGAACAUAUACACAAUACAAAUAAUUUCGAGUAUAAAGGGUCAUUAGUGGUUAGGUUUUUGGGUAAAUAAAAGAGUUGGUGUGCUACCUAAUACAGGAGAAAAAAAAAAAUCUUUUAGGGAAAGAUUUCCAAGGUUUUAGGUAAGGCUGAUGGAUUUUUUCUUUUUUUUUUUUAUAAUACUGAUUAAGAUUUAAAUUGGAAAUUUCAUUCUUUGAGGCUAAAAUCUAAACCCAUAAAGAUUCACAAAAUUAUAUAGGGUAUGCAUGAGAAAAAUACACAGGAAAGGGCCAAAGGAGAACGCUGCUGGAGCUUAAGUAAGAAACAAAUUAAGUAAAUAAUUAAUUAAAUUACCUGUGUUUUAAUUAGCAUUGCCGCGGCUUCCAGCGGACUUGUAAUCAGGAAAGGGAACACGACCAGACUCGAUGUGCUUAACAUCUUCAAUGAGGACUUCAUAGUGUCUCUUGACCUCUUCUGCUGAUUUCCCACCAACAGCUUUGGCUAUAUUUUGCCAGCGGUCUGGUGUUUCUUUAUCAUACAAGGCUAGAGCCUUCUCAAACAGUUUGUUUUCCCUUGGAGACCAAGAGGACCUAGAGUUUCUCGAAGCUUGAUAGCUUGAAGACAUAUCUAAUCUGAUCAAAGCAAAGGAGGUUUUGCUUGAAGAAGAUGGUUUGUGCUUGGUUUGGUGGGUUAUUAAUAUUAGAGAAGAAUGGUGGGUUGGAUCCAGUUGGAGAAUCUAUGGUACUAAUAUGGUUUGGUAUGAGUAUUGAGUACGACGAGUCUUCUUUGGAACCACAAGAAGGAAAAGGGCAAAGGUACAGA
This 2401-nucleotide unclassified non-coding RNA is filed under the name Hevea brasiliensis (rubber tree). Lineage: Eukaryota; Viridiplantae; Streptophyta; Magnoliopsida; Malpighiales; Euphorbiaceae. The record is from RNAcentral.